GUCGUGCAAGAUUUUACCCCCCAUUUCAGAAAAAUUCCGAUGAGUUUAUGUCAUGAGGGUGAUCUGAUCGGUGAUUACAUCAUAUUCUGUUCCAACUAUUUUAGCAUUGGCAUGGCCACGGUCAGCUCUGGCCGGAACCAAAUUGAUUUAAUUCGAAAUUAAAAUCAAACUAACAUUUAUCUUAAUCGACCAAUUACUGGCCAGCCUAAUAUGAAUUGGGUCUUGCAAUAACCCCAAGUCCACCGCUCCAUUCUGAGAAUCACU
This 264-nucleotide unclassified non-coding RNA is filed under the name Hevea brasiliensis (rubber tree). Lineage: Eukaryota; Viridiplantae; Streptophyta; Magnoliopsida; Malpighiales; Euphorbiaceae. The record is from RNAcentral.